Long non-coding RNA from Suricata suricatta (meerkat), 1080 nucleotides. RefSeq lists it as uncharacterized. The record is from RefSeq and is a predicted model, not a curated record. The transcript is spliced from 2 exons. NCBI's taxonomy places the organism in Eukaryota, Metazoa, Chordata, Mammalia, Carnivora, Herpestidae.
AGGGGGCCCCCCCGGCCAAGGGGUGCGGGCGGCCUCUAGAAGCGGGGAGAAAGGCCCGGAAGCGGCUUCUCCCCUCCCAGCCUCCAGAAGGAACCCGUUCUGCCAACUCCUCCACUUCAGGUUCCCGAGCUCCGGAACUGUGAUCAAGGUCAACAUCCAUGGUUGAGCAAUCAUGUAUGGGGGCUACUCAUGAUGUGAUGAAGGUGGCCUCUGCGUCUUCCUCCCCCAAACCCACCUUGGAAUCAUGAGGGAAACCUCAGACAGCAGGAGAGCAGAGUCAGAACCCGGGAAGGCCUGAGCCACUGCUGCAGCCCCGGAGGGGCCAAAGGAGCUGUGAGAACUGAAUGUACUGGGGUGUUCUGGACGAUGUCCCAGGACCGAACAAAGGACAUCGAGGGAGAAAACCAAAGAAACCGAGGACCAUGGACUUCAUUACUAACUAAAGUCUCAAUAUGGGUUCACUAGUUGGGGCAUAUGCACCUUUCGAAAGACUCGAUUUUUCUGUACAUCUAAAACCAUUCUAAAAACUUAAAGGGUUCAAUCCACUUUCUAGGAAAUCCUCCUAGGUAAAUGCUCACAGAGGUAGCCAAAGAUGUGUCCACAAGGGUUUUCAUUGCGUCAUACUCUAUGGGCCAGGAGACUCCUAAGUGCCUAAGACGGGGACUCGGGGAAUACCCUACAGCAGUUAGAGAUGGUGAUUUGGCUAAAAUGAACUUCCAGUUGUAGAGUAAUAAGACCCCGCUUCUGCUAAAUGAAAAGUUCUUUACGUGCGUGUUUUUUGAGGCUUAGAAAACUUGUAGGAAGAGAAACUCAGAACUGUUUGUUGUGGUUACCACAGAUAGGAAAUCAGAUGGAUCAGUUCUGUCUUUAACAUUUCGUUGACGUCUUUAAUGUUUGGAUGGUUCUUAACAAAUGAAUACUUAAGUAUUUGAAUGUUAAUUUGUGUGUAUUCUUAUGAAAUACUCUAGAUUGGCCAAAAGGAAUAGAGGAUAAUAUCCAGCUAAGAAAUGAAAGAUGCAAGUUACUUUUAUGACUAAAAACAAAACCUCAAGCCCUAUAAAGGUUCCUAUUUAAAUACCA